This 476-nucleotide ribosomal RNA is filed under the name uncultured organism. RNAcentral's name for it is "partial 16S ribosomal RNA". It matches the Rfam family "Bacterial small subunit ribosomal RNA", at positions 334 to 801 of the family's 1533-position model. The record is from RNAcentral.
CACUCCUGCGGGAGGCAGCAGUGGGGAUUAUUGCACAAUGGGCGCAAGCCUGAUGCAGCCAUGCCGCGUGUAUGAAGAAGGCCUUCGGGUUGUAAAGUACUUUCAGCGGGGAGGAAGGCGAUAAGGUUAAUAACCUUGUCGAUUGACGUUACCCGCAGAAGAAGCACCGGCUAACUCCGUGCCAGCAGCCGCGGUAAUACGGAGGGUGCAAGCGUUAAUCGGAAUUACUGGGCGUAAAGCGCACGCAGGCGGUCUGUCAAGUCGGAUGUGAAAUCCCCGGGCUCAACCUGGGAACUGCAUUCGAAACUGGCAGGCUAGAGUCUUGUAGAGGGGGGUAGAAUUCCAGGUGUAGCGGUGAAAUGCGUAGAGAUCUGGAGGAAUACCGGUGGCGAAGGCGGCCCCCUGGACAAAGACUGACGCUCAGGUGCGAAAGCGUGGGGAGCAAACAGGAUUAGAAACCCUGGUAGUCCCAUGAU